Molecule: antisense RNA, 75 nt
Filed under: Streptomyces bingchenggensis BCW-1
Lineage: Bacteria; Bacillati; Actinomycetota; Actinomycetes; Kitasatosporales; Streptomycetaceae
Description: ASpks TB sRNA
Rfam family: ASpks TB sRNA
Source: Rfam by way of RNAcentral
CUUGAUGGACCCGAGCCGGACGGGCCGGUCCUCGGAGCGUGCCUUGCCGUACGUGGCCAGUAGCGCCUGUGCCUC